Molecule: ribosomal RNA, 375 nt
Filed under: uncultured bacterium
Lineage: Bacteria
Description: bacterial SSU rRNA
Rfam family: Bacterial small subunit ribosomal RNA
Source: RNAcentral
GACGAACGCUGGCGGCGUGCUUAACACAUGCAAGUCGAACGAUGAAGCCCUUUCGGGGGGUGGAUUAGUGGCGAACGGGUGAGUAACACGUGGGUAACCUGCCCUGUACCCUGGGAUAAGCCUUGGAAACGAGGUCUAAUACCGGAUAUGACCUGCUCUCGCAUGGGGGUGGGUGGAAAGUUUUGGCGGUGCAGGAUGGACCCGCGGCCUAUCAGCUUGUUGGUGGGGUGAUGGCCUACCAAGGCGACGACGGGUAGCCGGCCUGAGAGGGCGACCGGCCACACUGGGACUGAGACACGGCCCAGACUCCUACGGGAGGCAGCAGUGGGGAAUAUUGCACAAUGGGCGAAAGCCUGAUGCAGCGACGCCGCGUGA